RNAcentral lists this ribosomal RNA (583 nucleotides) under uncultured bacterium. RNAcentral describes it as "bacterial SSU rRNA". It matches the Rfam family "Bacterial small subunit ribosomal RNA", at positions 338 to 916 of the family's 1533-position model. The record is from RNAcentral.
CCUACGGGAGGCAGCAGUGGGGAAUUUUGGACAAUGGGCGCAAGCCUGAUCCAGCCAUGCCGCGUGUGGGAAGAAGGCCUUCGGGUUGUAAACCACUUUUGUCAGGGAAGAAACGGCCUUUACUAAUAUUAGGGGCUAAUGACGGUACCUGAAGAAUAAGCACCGGCUAACUACGUGCCAGCAGCCGCGGUAAUACGUAGGGUGCAAGCGUUAAUCGGAAUUACUGGGCGUAAAGCGUGCGCAGGCGGCUUUGCAAGACAGAUGUGAAAUCCCCGGGCUCAACCUGGGAACUGCAUUUGUGACUGCAUGGCUAGAGUACGGUAGAGGGGGAUGGAAUUCCGCGUGUAGCAGUGAAAUGCGUAGAUAUGCGGAGGAACACCGAUGGCGAAGGCAAUCCCCUGGACCUGUACUGACGCUCAUGCACGAAAGCGUGGGGAGCAAACAGGAUUAGAUACCCUGGUAGUCCACGCCCUAAACGAUGUCAACUGGUUGUUGGACGGCUUGCUGUUCAGUAACGAAGCUAACGCGUGAAGUUGACCGCCUGGGGAGUACGGCCGCAGGUUGAAACUCAAAGGAUUGACGG